Molecule: ribosomal RNA, 253 nt
Filed under: uncultured bacterium
Lineage: Bacteria
Description: partial 16S ribosomal RNA
Rfam family: Bacterial small subunit ribosomal RNA
Source: RNAcentral
UACGGAGGGUGCAAGCGUUAAUCGGAAUUACUGGGCGUAAAGCGCACGUAGGCGGUUUGUUAAGCCAGCUGUGAAAUCCCCGGGCUCAACCUGGGCACUGCAGUUGGAACUGACAAGCUAGAGUAUGGUAGAGGGGUGUGGAAUUUCAGGUGUAGCGGUGAAAUGCGUAGAUAUCUGAAGGAACAUCAGUGGCGAAGGCGACACCCUGGACCAAUACUGACGCUGAGGUGCGAAAGCGUGGGGAGCAAACAGG